GAGGGUAUAGCUCAGUGGUAGAGUGGAUACUUAGCAUGAAUGAGGUCCUGGGUUCAGUCCCCAGUACCUCUA
Molecule: transfer RNA, 72 nt
Filed under: Camelus bactrianus (Bactrian camel)
Lineage: Eukaryota; Metazoa; Chordata; Mammalia; Artiodactyla; Camelidae
Also listed under: 2 other names
Rfam family: tRNA
About the family: Transfer RNA (tRNA) molecules are approximately 80 nucleotides in length.
Source: Rfam by way of RNAcentral